Molecule: ribosomal RNA, 230 nt
Filed under: uncultured bacterium
Lineage: Bacteria
Description: partial 16S ribosomal RNA
Rfam family: Bacterial small subunit ribosomal RNA
Source: RNAcentral
AAAGCGUGCGCAGGCGGUUAUGUAAGACAGAUGUGAAAUCCCCGGGCUCAACCUGGGAACUGCAUUUGUGACUGCAUGGCUAGAGUACGGUAGAGGGGGAUGGAAUUCCGCGUGUAGCAGUGAAAUGCGUAUAUAUGCGGAGGAACACCGAUGGCGAAGGCAAUCCCCUGGACCUGUACUGACGCUCAUGCACGAAAGCGUGGGGAGCAAACAGGAUUAGAUACCCCUGU